Molecule: non-coding RNA, 73 nt
Organism: Podarcis lilfordi (Lilford's wall lizard)
Lineage: Eukaryota; Metazoa; Chordata; Lepidosauria; Squamata; Lacertidae
Source: the annotation of a GenBank genome assembly
GACAGGAUAGCUCAGUCAGUAGGGUAUUGGACUCUUAAUCUCAAGGUCAUGGAUUUGAGCCCCACAUUUGGCA